AAGUCGUAACAAGGUUUCCGUAGGUGAACCUGCGGAAGGAUCAUUACCAAUUUUAGCGAACCUGACCUCUUGGUCAUGGUCUCGUGAAAACUUUGUAUUUAAAACCCCACUCUUUAUAAAUUGAAUCAUUCAUUAUUAUGUAUAAUAAAUAAAGAUCACUUUCAACAACGGAUCUCUUGGCUCUC
RNAcentral lists this unclassified non-coding RNA (185 nucleotides) under Rhizophagus sp. (in: glomeromycetes). Its description in RNAcentral is "Rhizophagus sp. (in: Fungi) partial internal transcribed spacer region". The stretch from base 1 to 46 matches the Rfam family "Eukaryotic small subunit ribosomal RNA", at positions 1786 to 1831 of the family's 1831-position model. The record is from RNAcentral. Lineage: Eukaryota; Fungi; Glomeromycota; Glomeromycetes; Glomerales; Glomeraceae.